GACGAACGCUGGCGGCGUGCUUAACACAUGCAAGUCGAACGGAAAGGUCCUGCUUUUGUGGGGUGCUCGAGUGGCGAACGGGUGAGUAACACGUGAGUAACCUGCCCUUGACUUUGGGAUAACUUCAGGAAACUGGGGCUAAUACCGGAUAGGAGCUCCUGCUGCAUGGUGGGGGUUGGAAAGUUUCGGCGGUUGGGGAUGGACUCGCGGCCUAUCAGCUUGUUGGUGGGGUAGUGGCUUACCAAGGCUUUGACGGGUAGCCGGCCUGAGAGGGUGACCGGCCACAUUGGGACUGAGAUGCGGCACAGACUCCUACGGGAGGCAGCAGUGGGGAAUAUUGCACGAUGGGCGGAAGCCUGAUGCAGCAACGCCGCGUGCGGGAUGACGGCCUUCGGGUUGUAAACCGCUUUCGCCUGUGACGAAGCGUGAGUGACGGUAAUGGGUAAAGAAGCACCGGCUAACUACGUG
This 468-nucleotide ribosomal RNA is filed under the name uncultured bacterium. RNAcentral describes it as "partial 16S ribosomal RNA". It matches the Rfam family "Bacterial small subunit ribosomal RNA", at positions 28 to 507 of the family's 1533-position model. The record is from RNAcentral.